AAAUUGAAGAGUUUGAUCAUGGCUCAGAUUGAACGCUGGCGGCAGGCCUAACACAUGCAAGUCGAACGGUAACAGGAAGCAGCUUGCUGCUUYGCUGACGAGUGGCGGACGGGUGAGUAAUGUCUGGGAAACUGCCUGAUGGAGGGGGAUAACUACUGGAAACGGUGGCUAAUACCGCAUAACGUCGCAAGACCAAAGAGGGGGACCUUCGGGCCUCUUGCCAUCAGAUGUGCCCAGAUGGGAUUAGCUUGUUGGUGAGGUAACGGCUCACCAAGGCGACGAUCCCUAGCUGGUCUGAGAGGA
RNAcentral lists this ribosomal RNA (303 nucleotides) under Salmonella enterica subsp. enterica serovar Infantis. RNAcentral describes it as "partial 16S ribosomal RNA". The record is from RNAcentral. Lineage: Bacteria; Pseudomonadati; Pseudomonadota; Gammaproteobacteria; Enterobacterales; Enterobacteriaceae.